CCAGAGAAGUGAAUCCGCCGCUUGCGCCGCAUGGAGUCCGAAUCGGAAAGCGGGGCUGCUGCUGACACCCCCCCACUGGAGACCCUAAGCUUCCAUGGUGACGAAGAGAUUAUCGAGGUGGUAGAACUUGAUCCCGGUCCGCCGGACCCAGAUGACCUGGCCCAGGAGAUGGAAGAUGUGGACUUUGAGGAAGAAGAGGAGGAAGAGGGCAACGAAGAGGGCUGGGUUCUAGAACCCCAGGAAGGGGUGGUCGGCAGCAUGGAGGGCCCCGACGAUAGCGAGGUCACCUUUGCAUUGCACUCAGCAUCUGUGUUUUGUGUGAGCCUGGACCCCAAGACCAAUACCUUGGCGGUGACCGGGGGUGAAGAUGACAAAGCCUUCGUAUGGCGGCUCAGCGAUGGGGAGCUGCUCUUUGAGUGUGCAGGCCAUAAAGACUCUGUGACUUGUGCUGGUUUCAGCCAUGACUCCACUCUAGUGGCCACAGGGGACAUGAGUGGCCUCUUGAAAGUGUGGCAGGUGGACACCAAGGAGGAGGUCUGGUCCUUUGAAGCAGGAGACCUGGAGUGGAUGGAGUGGCAUCCUCGGGCACCUGUCCUGUUGGCGGGCACAGCCGAUGGCAACACCUGGAUGUGGAAAGUCCCGAAUGGUGACUGCAAGACCUUCCAGGGUCCCAACUGCCCAGCCACCUGUGGCCGAGUCCUCCCUGAUGGGAAGAGAGCUGUGGUAGGCUAUGAAGAUGGGACCAUCAGGAUUUGGGACCUGAAGCAGGGAAGCCCUAUCCAUGUACUGAAAGGGACUGAGGGUCACCAGGGCCCACUCACCUGUGUUGCCACCAACCAGGAUGGCAGCUUGAUCCUAACUGGCUCUGUGGACUGCCAGGCCAAGCUGGUCAGUGCCACUACUGGCAAGGUGAGUGGACCUGGAGCCCGGCUGGGUCCUCCGCUUUCCCGACUCCUCUCCUUCCUUCCUGGGUCUUCACUGUCUCCUCUCCCCACCAUCUUUCUCUCCAUCAAGCACCCGGAUUCCGGGUCCUCCUCUGAUCCUCUCUGGCUUUCAGGUGGUGGGUGUUUUUAGACCUGAGACUGUGGCCUCCCAGCCCAGCCUGGGAGAAGGGGAGGAGAGUGAGUCCAACUCGGUGGAGUCCUUGGGCUUCUGCAGUGUGAUGCCCCUGGCAGCUGUUGGCUACCUGGAUGGGACCUUGGCCAUCUAUGACCUGGCUACGCAGACUCUUAGGCAUCAGUGUCAGCACCAGUCGGGCAUCGUGCAGCUGCUGUGGGAGGCAGGCACUGCCGUGGUAUAUACCUGCAGCCUGGAUGGCAUCGUGCGCCUCUGGGAUGCCCGGACCGGCCGCCUGCUUACUGACUACCGGGGCCACACGGCCGAGAUCCUGGACUUUGCCCUCAGCAAAGAUGCCUCCCUGGUGGUGACCACGUCAGGAGACCACAAAGCGAAAGUAUUUUGUGUCCAAAGGCCUGACCGUUAAUGGCUGCAGCCCCUGCCUGUGUGUCUGGUGUUGAGGGGACGAAGGGACCCCUGCCCCUGUCUGCCAGCAGAGGCAGUAGGGCACAGAGGGAAGAGGAGGGUGGGGCCCUGGAUGACUUUCCAGCCUCUUCAACUGACUUGCUCCUCUCUCCUUUUCUUGUCUUUAGAGACCCAGCCCAGGGCCCUCCCACCCUUGCCCAGACCUGGUGGGCCCUUCAGAGGGAGGGGUGGACCUGUUUCUCUUUCACUUUCAUUUGCUGGUGUGAGCCAUGGGGUGUGUAUUUGUAUGUGGGGAGUAGGUGUUUGAGGUUCCCGUUCUUUCCCUUCCCAAGUCUCUGGGGGUGGAAAGGA
RNAcentral lists this small RNA (1833 nucleotides) under Pongo abelii (Sumatran orangutan). RNAcentral's name for it is "retained intron". Lineage: Eukaryota; Metazoa; Chordata; Mammalia; Primates; Hominidae. The record is from RNAcentral.